Molecule: ribosomal RNA, 224 nt
Filed under: uncultured bacterium
Lineage: Bacteria
Description: partial 16S ribosomal RNA
Rfam family: Bacterial small subunit ribosomal RNA
Source: RNAcentral
GAUCAUGGCUCAGGAUGAACGCUAGCUACAGGCUUAACACAUGCAAGUCGAGGGGCAGCAUGGUCUUAGCUUGCUAAGACUGAUGGCGACCGGCGCACGGGUGAGUAACACGUAUCCAACCUGCCGUCUACUCUUGGACAGCCUUCUGAAAGGAAGAUUAAUACAAGAUGGCAUCAUGAGUCCGCAUGUAAUUAAGAUUAAAGAUUUAUCGGUGUACGAUGGGG